This 235-nucleotide ribosomal RNA is filed under the name uncultured bacterium. RNAcentral describes it as "partial 16S ribosomal RNA". It matches the Rfam family "Bacterial small subunit ribosomal RNA", at positions 96 to 334 of the family's 1533-position model. The record is from RNAcentral.
UGGCGGACGGGUGAGUAAUGUCUGGGAAACUGCCCGAUGGAGGGGGAUAACUACUGGAAACGGUAGCUAAUACCGCGUAAUGUCUACGGACCAAAGCGGGGGACCUCCGGGCCUCGCGCCAUCAGAUGAACCCAUAUGGGAUUAGCUAGUAGGUAAGGUAACGGCUUACCUAGGCGACGAUCCCUAGCUGGUCUGAGAGGAUGAUCAGCCACACUGGAACUGAGACACGGUCCAG